AUUGAACGCUGGCGGCAGGCCUAACACAUGCAAGUCGAGCGGCAGCGGAAAGUAGCUUGCUACUUUGCCGGCGAGCGGCGGACGGGUGAGUAAUGUCUGGGAAACUGCCUGAUGGAGGGGGAUAACUACUGGAAACGGUAGCUAAUACCGCAUGACCUCGAAAGAGCAAAGUGGGGGAUCUUCGGACCUCACGCCAUCGGAUGUGCCCAGAUGGGAUUAGCUAGUAGGUGAGGUAAUGGCUCACCUAGGCGACGAUCCCUAGCUGGUCUGAGAGGAUGACCAGCCACACUGGAACUGAGACACGGUCCAGACUCCUACGGGAGGCAGCAGUGGGGAAUAUUGCACAAUGGGCGCAAGCCUGAUGCAGCCAUGCCGCGUGUGUGAAGAAGGCCUUAGGGUUGUAAAGCACUUUCAGCGAGGAGGAAGGCAUCACACUUAAUACGUGUGGUGAUUGACGUUACUCGCAGAAGAAGCACCGGCUAACUCCGUGCCAGCAGCCGCGGUAAUACGGAGGGUGCAAGCGUUAAUCGGAAUUACUGGGCGUAAAGCGCACGCAGGCGGUUUGUUAAGUCAGAUGUGAAAUCCCCGCGCUUAACGUGGGAACUGCAUUUGAAACUGGCAAGCUAGAGUCUUGUAGAGGGGGGUCGAAUUCCAGGUGUAGCGGUGAAAUGCGUAGAGAUCUGGAGGAAUACCGGUGGCGAAGGCGGCCCCCUGGACAAAGACUGACGCUCAGGUGCGAAAGCGUGGGGAGCAAACAGG
RNAcentral lists this ribosomal RNA (759 nucleotides) under uncultured Enterobacteriaceae bacterium. Its description in RNAcentral is "bacterial SSU rRNA". It matches the Rfam family "Bacterial small subunit ribosomal RNA", at positions 28 to 776 of the family's 1533-position model. Lineage: Bacteria; Pseudomonadati; Pseudomonadota; Gammaproteobacteria; Enterobacterales; Enterobacteriaceae. The record is from RNAcentral.